RNAcentral lists this ribosomal RNA (1249 nucleotides) under Sesame phyllody phytoplasma. Its description in RNAcentral is "bacterial SSU rRNA". It matches the Rfam family "Bacterial small subunit ribosomal RNA", at positions 153 to 1402 of the family's 1533-position model. The record is from RNAcentral. Lineage: Bacteria; Bacillati; Mycoplasmatota; Mollicutes; Acholeplasmatales; Acholeplasmataceae.
GAAACGACUGCUAAGACUGGAUAGGAGACAAGAAGGCAUCUUCUUGUUUUUAAAAGACCUAGCAAUAGGUAUGCUUAGGGAGGAGCUUGCGUCACAUUAGUUAGUUGGUGGGGUAAAGGCCUACCAAGACUAUGAUGUGUAGCCGGGCUGAGAGGUUGAACGGCCACAUUGGGACUGAGACACGGCCCAAACUCCUACGGGAGGCAGCAGUAGGGAAUUUUCGGCAAUGGAGGAAACUCUGACCGAGCAACGCCGCGUGAACGAUGAAGUAUUUCGGUACGUAAAGUUCUUUUAUUAGGGAAGAAUAAAUGAUGGAAAAAUCAUUCUGACGGUACCUAAUGAAUAAGCCCCGGCUAACUAUGUGCCAGCAGCCGCGGUAAUACAUAGGGGGCAAGCGUUAUCCGGAAUUAUUGGGCGUAAAGGGUGCGUAGGCGGUUAAAUAAGUUUAUGGUCUAAGUGCAAUGCUCAACAUUGUGAUGCUAUAAAAACUGUUUAGCUAGAGUAAGAUAGAGGCAAGUGGAAUUCCAUGUGUAGUGGUAAAAUGCGUAAAUAUAUGGAGGAACACCAGUAGCGAAGGCGGCUUGCUGGGUCUUUACUGACGCUGAGGCACGAAAGCGUGGGGAGCAAACAGGAUUAGAUACCCUGGUAGUCCACGCCGUAAACGAUGAGUACUAAACGUUGGGUAAAACCAGUGUUGAAGUUAACACAUUAAGUACUCCGCCUGAGUAGUACGUACGCAAGUAUGAAACUUAAAGGAAUUGACGGGACUCCGCACAAGCGGUGGAUCAUGUUGUUUAAUUUGAAGGUACCCGAAAAACCUCACCAGGUCUUGACAUGCUUCUGCAAAGCUGUAGAAACACAGUGGAGGUUAUCAGUUGCACAGGUGGUGCAUGGUUGUCGUCAGCUCGUGUCGUGAGAUGUUGGGUUAAGUCCCGCAACGAGCGCAACCCUUAUUGUUAGUUACCAGCACGUAAUGGUGGGGACUUUAGCAAGACUGCCAGUGAUAAAUUGGAGGAAGGUGGGGACGACGUCAAAUCAUCAUGCCCCUUAUGACCUGGGCUACAAACGUGAUACAAUGGCUGUUACAAAGGGUAGCUGAAGCGCAAGUUUUUGGCGAAUCUCAAAAAAACAGUCUCAGUUCGGAUUGAAGUCUGCAACUCGACUUCAUGAAGUUGGAAUCGCUAGUAAUCGCGAAUCAGCAUGUCGCGGUGAAUACGUUCUCGGGGUUUGUACACACCGCCCGUCAAAC